GCUUGGCGUUGGUUGUCCAAGUUUAAGGUGGUAGGCUGGAAUCUUAGGUAAAUCCGGGAUUCUAAGGCCGAGAGCUGAUGACGAGUUACCUUUUAGGUGACGAAGUGGUUGAUGCCAUGCUUCCAAGAAAAGCUUCUAAGCUUCAGAUAACUAGGAACCGUACCCCAAACCGACACAGGUGGUUGGGUAGAGAAUACCAAGGCGCUUGAGAGAACUCGGGUGAAGGAACUAGGCAAAAUGGCACCGUAACUUCGGGAGAAGGUGCGCCGGUGAGGGUGAAGGACUUGCUCCGUAAGCCCAUGCCGGUCGAAGAUACCAGGCCGCUGCGACUGUUUAUUAAAAACACAGCACUCUGCAAACACGAAAGUGGACGUAUAGGGUGUGACGCCUGCCCGGUGCCGGAAGGUUAAUUGAUGGGGUUAGCUAACGCGAAGCUCUUGAUCGAAGCCCCGGUAAACGGCGGCCGUAACUAUAACGGUCCUAAGGUAGCGAAAUUCCUUGUCGGGUAAGUUCCGACCUGCACGAAUGGCGUAACGAUGGCGGCGCUGUCUCCACCCGAGACUCAGUGAAAUUGAAAUCGCUGUGAAGAUGCAGUGUAUCCGCGGCUAGACGGAAAGACCCCGUGAACCUUUACUAUAGCUUUGCACUGGACUUUGAAUUUGCUUGUGUAGGAUAGGUGGGAGGCUUUGAAGCGUGGACGCCAGUUCGCGUGGAGCCAUCCUUGAAAUACCACCCUGGCAACUUUGAGGUUCUAACUCAGGUCCGUUAUCCGGAUCGAGGACAGUGUAUGGUGGGUAGUUUGACUGGGGCGGUCUCCUCCUAAAGAGUAACGGAGGAGUACGAAGGUGCGCUCAGACCGGUCGGAAAUCGGUCGUAGAGUAUAAAGGCAAAAGCGCGCUUGACUGCGAGACAGACACGUCGAGCAGGUACGAAAGUAGGUCUUAGUGAUCCGGUGGUUCUGUAUGGAAGGGCCAUCGCUCAACGGAUAAAAGGUACUCCGGGGAUAACAGGCUGAUACCGCCCAAGAGUUCAUAUCGACGGCGGUGUUUGGCACCUCGAUGUCGGCUCAUCACAUCCUGGGGCUGAAGCCGGUCCCAAGGGUAUGGCUGUUCGCCAUUUAAAGUGGUACGCGAGCUGGGUUUAGAACGUCGUGAGACAGUUCGGUCCCUAUCUGCCGUGGACGUUUGAGAUUUGAGAGGGGCUGCUCCUAGUACGAGAGGACCGGAGUGGACGAACCUCUGGUGUUCCGGUUGUCACGCCAGUGGCAUUGCCGGGUAGCUAUGUUCGGAAAAGAUAACCGCUGAAAGCAUCUAAGCGGGAAACUUGCCUCAAGAUGAGAUCUCACUGGAACCUUGAGUUCCCUGAAGGGCCGUCGAAGACUACGACGUUGAUAGGUUGGGUGUGUAAGCGCUGUGAGGCGUUGAGCUAACCAAUACUAAUUGCCCGUGAGGCUUGACCAUAUAACACCCAAGCAAUU
RNAcentral lists this ribosomal RNA (1477 nucleotides) under Pseudomonas chlororaphis. RNAcentral's name for it is "partial 23S ribosomal RNA". It matches the Rfam family "Bacterial large subunit ribosomal RNA", at positions 1490 to 2925 of the family's 2925-position model. Lineage: Bacteria; Pseudomonadati; Pseudomonadota; Gammaproteobacteria; Pseudomonadales; Pseudomonadaceae. The record is from RNAcentral.